CACAGAAAUGAAAUUUCGAAAGGAAUUCUGGACAAUUUCGUACACUCUGUACUUUGAAAGAAAGAAGUAGCUUAUCAGAAUAAGCUGCUCUGGAACCAUAAGGAGAGGGGAUGCCUGGUGGUCCCAGGCCUGGAGCUCAGGGCCAGAGUGGAUGCUCCACAAGGACAGGAAACCCUUCCACCCACAGAGACUUCACCCCAUUCUUAUCACCAGCCCCCAUCUGUUGAAGUACAAGAAAUUCCCCGAAGAGAUUCUGGAGACUAGGACUGACAUCCAAAGCAAGGCCUUUAGAAUAAAGGAUUAAAGCCUAAAGGACUCAGUUCAGAGGAAAUUCAUACGAGACAGAGAAAUGAGAGACAGGAGGAAGAAAGUGGCUGCAAAAUAUGAAGAAGGAAGGCAUGUGUGAAGAACAGAAAUGGAAUACACAAAUGCCCUUUGGAAAUCGGGGACAGUCGGCUCUCCUGCCUGUGUUGCUAAGAGGCUUCUUCCGCCUUGCAAACAGGGAUGAGGGACAUGAAUAGACCGCUGUGAUGCAGAGGACCUUGGACUCCCAAAGUUUGCCAGGUCUUCUUGGCCAGUAGAA
Long non-coding RNA from Fukomys damarensis (Damara mole-rat), 583 nucleotides. RefSeq lists it as uncharacterized. The transcript is spliced from 4 exons. The record is from RefSeq and is a predicted model, not a curated record. Lineage: Eukaryota; Metazoa; Chordata; Mammalia; Rodentia; Bathyergidae.